Molecule: transfer RNA, 64 nt
Filed under: Scopura montana
Lineage: Eukaryota; Metazoa; Arthropoda; Insecta; Plecoptera; Scopuridae
Description: tRNA-Arg
Source: RNAcentral
GAAUAAGAAGCGAUGAAUUGCAUUCAGUUUCGACCUGAUUUUAGAUACUUAUUAUCCUUAUUCU